GGGGGGGGGGGGGGGCGGGGGGGGCGCGUGGGGGGCGGGGGGGGAGGGGCGGGGUGUGGGGGGUGGUCGGGGGGCGAACGGGGGGGUAACACGUGGGUAACCUGCCCUUGACUUUGGGAUAACUUCAGGGAACUGGGGCUAAUACCGGAUAGGAGCUCCUGCUGCAUGGUGGGGGUUGGAAAGUUUCGGCGGGUGGGGCUGGACUCGCGGCUUAUCAGCUUGUUGGUGGGGUAGUGGCUUACCAAGGCUUUGACGGGUAGCCGGCCUGAGAGGGUGACCGGCCACUUGGGACUGAGAUACGGCCCAGACUCCUACGGGAGGCAGCAGUGGGGAAUAUUGCACAAUGGGCGGAAGCCUGAUGCAGCAACGCCGCGUGCGGGAUGACGGCCUUCGGGUUGUAAACCGCUUUCGCCUGUGACGAAGCGUGAGUGACGGUAAUGGGUAAAGAAGCACCGGCUAACUACGUG
This 467-nucleotide ribosomal RNA is filed under the name uncultured bacterium. RNAcentral's name for it is "partial 16S ribosomal RNA". The stretch from base 49 to 467 matches the Rfam family "Bacterial small subunit ribosomal RNA", at positions 39 to 507 of the family's 1533-position model. The record is from RNAcentral.